GGGUUUACUCAUUGUUCAGGCUUAAUUGUCUUUACUGGUGAGAUGGAUCUCUACCUUCUGAGGAACUUUCAUGCCAUUUAUUUGGUGUGAUGGGAAAUCAGGACUGUUACUUUGAAAAAAUUAGAGUGUUUAAAGCAGGCUAACGUCUGAAUACAUUAGCAUGGAAUAAUGAAAUAGGACGUUCGAUCCUAUUUUGUUGGUUUCUAGGAUUGCCGUA
This 217-nucleotide ribosomal RNA is filed under the name Campeiostachys nutans. Its description in RNAcentral is "Elymus nutans partial small subunit ribosomal RNA". It matches the Rfam family "Eukaryotic small subunit ribosomal RNA", at positions 631 to 864 of the family's 1831-position model. Lineage: Eukaryota; Viridiplantae; Streptophyta; Magnoliopsida; Poales; Poaceae. The record is from RNAcentral.